AUGCAUGCAAAAUUGGUUGAGGGGUGAUAAUAUUAUUACUUUGGAGGAUGAUGCACCUUCAAUUGACCACAUUGAGUUCUAUGAAAGUAUUGAAUCCGAGUUGGCCAAAUCGACUUCAAGCAUUGCCUCUCUUACUCUCGAUCAAGAACCACAACAAGCUCCAAAGCAAUCUCAAGGUUCUAAUUCACAAGAGCCUCCCCUUAUGCGUUUACAAAGUGCAAGGUCUUCACAAGCUCAAAGGCCUCCUAAACCUUCAAAGAAUAAGUGUCCAAAAGGAAAAGGAAAGGUAAAGGUUUGAAACUUGAACGAUGCAAAGUAAGUUGAAAACCAAGAUUUUGUUGAAUUCCAUGAACCAUUUAUUUUUUUGGUUGUACUAAUGCCAUAAGGCAUUUGACAUUGAACUUUGUUUGAAACUUUGAAGUUUGAACUUUAGUUGUAUUAUGGCAAACUUAACUUUUCAAUUGGGUUGUAGUAAACUAUUGUGAUUGAUUGGUGAUCAAGUUGAAUUUUAGUAGAUGUGAAUUAUGUGA
Long non-coding RNA from Malus domestica (apple), 530 nucleotides. RefSeq lists it as uncharacterized. The record is from RefSeq and is a predicted model, not a curated record. Lineage: Eukaryota; Viridiplantae; Streptophyta; Magnoliopsida; Rosales; Rosaceae.